AGAGUUUGAUCCUGGCUCAGGACGAACGCUGGCGGCGUGCCUAAUACAUGCAAGUCGUACGCUUCUUUUUCCACCGGAGCUUGCUCCACCGGAAAAAGAAGAGUGGCGAACGGGUGAGUAACACGUGGGUAACCUGCCCAUCAGAAGGGGAUAACACUUGGAAACAGGUGCUAAUACCGUAUAACAAUCGAAACCGCAUGGUUUUGAUUUGAAAGGCGCUUUCGGGUGUCGCUGAUGGAUGGACCCGCGGUGCAUUAGCUAGUUGGUGAGGUAACGGCUCACCAAGGCCACGAUGCAUAGCCGACCUGAGAGGGUGAUCGGCCACAUUGGGACUGAGACACGGCCCAAACUCCUACGGGAGGCAGCAGUAGGGAAUCUUCGGCAAUGGACGAAAGUCUGACCGAGCAACGCCGCGUGAGUGAAGAAGGUUUUCGGAUCGUAAAACUCUGUUGUUAGAGAAGAACAAGGAUGAGAGUAACUGUUCAUCCCUUGACGGUAUCUAACCAGAAAGCCACGGCUAACUACGUGCCAGCAGCCGCGGUAAUACGUAGGUGGCAAGCGUUGUCCGGAUUUAUUGGGCGUAAAGCGAGCGCAGGCGGUUUCUUAAGUCUGAUGUGAAAGCCCCCGGCUCAACCGGGGAGGGUCAUUGGAAACUGGGAGACUUGAGUGCAGAAGAGGAGAGUGGAAUUCCAUGUGUAGCGGUGAAAUGCGUAGAUAUAUGGAGGAACACCAGUGGCGAAGGCGGCUCUCUGGUCUGUAACUGACGCUGAGGCUCGAAAGCGUGGGGAGCAAACAGGAUUAGAUACCCUGGUAGUCCACGCCGUAAACGAUGAGUGCUAAGUGUUGGAGGGUUUCCGCCCUUCAGUGCUGCAGCUAACGCAUUAAGCACUCCGCCUGGGGAGUACGACCGCAAGGUUGAAACUCAAAGGAAUUGACGGGGGCCCGCACAAGCGGUGGAGCAUGUGGUUUAAUUCGAAGCAACGCGAAGAACCUUACCAGGUCUUGACAUCCUUUGACCACUCUAGAGAUAGAGCUUCCCCUUCGGGGGCAAAGUGACAGGUGGUGCAUGGUUGUCGUCAGCUCGUGUCGUGAGAUGUUGGGUUAAGUCCCGCAACGAGCGC
Molecule: ribosomal RNA, 1121 nt
Filed under: Enterococcus faecium
Lineage: Bacteria; Bacillati; Bacillota; Bacilli; Lactobacillales; Enterococcaceae
Description: bacterial SSU rRNA
Rfam family: Bacterial small subunit ribosomal RNA
Source: RNAcentral